Long non-coding RNA from Lolium rigidum, 235 nucleotides. RefSeq lists it as uncharacterized. The transcript has 3 exons. The record is from RefSeq and is a predicted model, not a curated record. NCBI's taxonomy places the organism in Eukaryota, Viridiplantae, Streptophyta, Magnoliopsida, Poales, Poaceae.
GACCGACCGCACCUGAUUGGGUCCUGUCCGGAAGCACCACCCCUUUUAGAGUUUGUGCUAGGCAGCCUUGGACUAAACAAGGUUUGUGGGAAUAAGGAAAAUAAAAAUGAGGGUUAGCUUAGUUGGCAAUCCACAACAAUGAAGCUUCAGAUACUUAUUCUAAACAGGGUUAUAUUGAAGUUUGAACAUACCAGAGAUCAACCGGCGAGAAGCAUGUAACCAAAGAAUCAGCCUA